This 253-nucleotide ribosomal RNA is filed under the name uncultured bacterium. Its description in RNAcentral is "partial 16S ribosomal RNA". It matches the Rfam family "Bacterial small subunit ribosomal RNA", at positions 524 to 776 of the family's 1533-position model. The record is from RNAcentral.
UACGAAGGGGGCUAGCGUUGCUCGGAAUCACUGGGCGUAAAGGGUGCGUAGGCGGGUUUUUAAGUCAGGGGUGAAAUCCUGGAGCUCAACUCCAGAACUGCCUUUGAUACUGAAAAUCUUGAGUCCGGGAGAGGUGAGUGGAACUGCGAGUGUAGAGGUGAAAUUCGUAGAUAUUCGCAAGAACACCAGUGGCGAAGGCGGCUCACUGGCCCGGUACUGACGCCGAGGCACGAAAGCGUGGGGAGCAAACAGG